AUGAAUAAAUUAAAUGGCUGCAGUAUAAAUAACUGUACAAAGGUAGCAUAAUCAAUUGAUUUUUAAAUGAAAUCUGGAAUAAAAGAAUUAAUGAAAUAUAUACUGUCUCAUAUAUAUAAUAUAAACUUAAAUUUUUAAUAAAAAUGUUAAAAUUUAUUUAUGGGACGAUAAGACCCUAUAGAAUUUUAUAUUAAAUUAUUUUUAUAAAUAUUAAAUAUAAAAUUUAAAUUAAUAUUUAAUUGGGAGAAUUAUUAAAUUUAAAAAAUUUUAAUUUAAAAAAAACUUUAAUUAAAGAAUAUAUCUUGAUCUUUAAAUUAAAAUUAAUAGAAUAAAUUACCUUAGGGAUAACAGCGUUAUAUUUUUUUAUAGAUCACAUAGAAAAAAAUGAUUGCGACCUCGAUGUUGAAUUAAGAUAAAUUUUAAAUGUAGAAAUUUAAUAAUUAAGUCUGUUCGACUUUUAAAAUCUUACAUGAUUUGAGUUCAAAUCGACGUAAGUCAGAUUGG
This 504-nucleotide ribosomal RNA is filed under the name Scaptotrigona pectoralis. Its description in RNAcentral is "partial small subunit ribosomal RNA". The stretch from base 344 to 502 matches the Rfam family "Bacterial large subunit ribosomal RNA", at positions 2473 to 2632 of the family's 2925-position model. Lineage: Eukaryota; Metazoa; Arthropoda; Insecta; Hymenoptera; Apidae. The record is from RNAcentral.